UAUUAAGUUGGUGCAAAAGUAAUUGCGGUUUUUGCUAUUACUUUCAAUGGCAAAAACUGCAAUUACAUUUGCACCAGCUCAAUA
This is a microRNA precursor of Colobus angolensis palliatus, 84 nucleotides long. Lineage: Eukaryota; Metazoa; Chordata; Mammalia; Primates; Cercopithecidae. The record is from Ensembl.